RNAcentral lists this transfer RNA (93 nucleotides) under Terriglobia bacterium. RNAcentral describes it as "tRNA-Ile". Lineage: Bacteria; Pseudomonadati; Acidobacteriota; Terriglobia. The record is from RNAcentral.
GGCCGCGAGAUGUAUGGUGCAUGGGCUGCCUUAUAAGCAGCGGAAGUUCCAGAUCGGAGCGCAGGCUGAGUUCGAAUCUCAGGGCGGCCACCA